AUUGAACGCUGGCGGCAUGCUUUACACAUGCAAGUCGAACGGCAGCGCGGGCUUCGGCCUGGCGGCGAGUGGCGAACGGGUGAGUAAUACAUCGGAACGUGCCCAGUAGUGGGGGAUAGCUCGGCGAAAGCCGGAUUAAUACCGCAUACGACCUGAGGGUGAAAGAGGGGGAUCUUCGGACCUCGCGCUAUUGGAGCGGCCGAUGGCAGAUUCGCUAGUUGGUGGGGUAAAGGCCUACCAAGGCGACGAUCUGUAGCUGGUCUGAGAGGACGACCAGCCACACUGGGACUGAGACACGGCCCAGACUCCUACGGGAGGCAGCAGUGGGGAAUUUUGGACAAGGGGCGAAAGCCUGAUCCAGCAAUGCGGCGUGUGGGAUGAAGGCCUUCGGGUGGUAAAGCACUUUUGGCGGGAACGAAAAGGACUGUGCCAAUACCACGGUUCGAUGACGGUACCCGCAGAAUAAGCACCGGCUAACUACGUG
RNAcentral lists this ribosomal RNA (484 nucleotides) under uncultured bacterium. RNAcentral's name for it is "partial 16S ribosomal RNA". It matches the Rfam family "Bacterial small subunit ribosomal RNA", at positions 29 to 507 of the family's 1533-position model. The record is from RNAcentral.